This 1041-nucleotide long non-coding RNA is filed under the name Lepeophtheirus salmonis (salmon louse). Its description in RNAcentral is "uncharacterized LOC121127812". The record is from RNAcentral. Lineage: Eukaryota; Metazoa; Arthropoda; Copepoda; Siphonostomatoida; Caligidae.
AAAAGUGAGUCAGUGGAAUGGGAAAAGAUUAACUUCCCUUCUCAAAAUUAUUAUUGAUUCGUCUAAGAACAAAAAACAAACACAUUAUGAGCAGUUCUUUAGUGUAACAAUAGAGGAACAGAAACAUCCAAUACUUUUAGUCAACGUAAGGAUAAAAAUUCGUAACAAUAUAUACGUAGAACAAUGACAGCUGACACAACAGAAGAAGCUACGCCUAGAAGGUACUUUCGAAUGUGUAGCUCCUCUAACAAUGGAGUCAGCAACACAGUUUUCUGUAUAAUGAUGAAUUGAUCGUAUAGUGAUAUAAAAGGGAUCCAGAACAAAUCAAUGAGUUCAAAUGAGACAAAGCUAAAUAUGACGACCUAAAACGUAUUCGUGAGACAGGGCCUGUAAGGAGUGAGGAGUGUCCCUUUACUCAGACCUUCUUUCUUUCUUAUCUGAUACUCUAAUUUCUGUAGAAAAUAUGAACAACCAUCCUCUCCUUCUUCGUCAUGGAAUACUGACAACGGUUCUCAACUUACCCAACAAUAAAUUUAUAUUUUAAAGAAGACGACACAACCCAAUAGUACUUGGUGAUGGUUUUGUCGUCUUUUUUUAUAAAUUUUGAAUAUAUUUUCUAGAAAACAAAAACGUUUUAAUCAUAUAAUUUCUUAAAAACAAAAAUUUUAUAUAGACAAUUAUCCUUAAAUUAUCACGUAAUUUGAUAUAAAAAUACUUUAAUAUCUCUAUGAUUUAUAGUAUGAUUUACAUUUUGUAAAAAUGUAAUUUCAUUGGCAUCACAUUUAUUUGUUUGUUGUUUAUGGUUCGUUCAUUUCUGAUGUAUUGUAAUAUAUGUAUUAACCCUCAACUUCAAUUUGAUUCGGGAAUUCACAAAAACUCAUCAUGUAAUAUUUGCAUAUUUUAUAAACUAUACUGUGCCAAUAAGUAUAAAGUAUAUAUUUAAGGACACUUCCUACAAUAACUUUGUAUUUGAAACUAAACUAAGAUUAUAUGUAUGUAGAUGUUUAAAUGAAACUAAAAUAAAAGUCUAUAUUUUAAAAA